GUCGGCGUAGCUCAGUUGGUCAGAGCGCUGUUCCUAGGAUCAGAGGUCGCAGGUUCGAGCCCUGCCGUCGGGCGCGCCA
This 79-nucleotide transfer RNA is filed under the name Novosphingobium pentaromativorans. Its description in RNAcentral is "tRNA-OTHER". It matches the Rfam family "tRNA". Rfam says of the family: Transfer RNA (tRNA) molecules are approximately 80 nucleotides in length. Their secondary structure includes four short double-helical elements and three loops (D, anti-codon, and T loops). Further hydrogen bonds mediate the characteristic L-shaped molecular structure. tRNAs have two regions of fundamental functional importance: the anti-codon, which is responsible for specific mRNA codon recognition, and the 3' end, to which the tRNAs corresponding amino acid is attached (by aminoacyl-tRNA synthetases). tRNAs cope with the degeneracy of the genetic code in two manners: having more than one tRNA (with a specific anti-codon) for a particular amino acid; and 'wobble' base-pairing, i.e. permitting non-standard base-pairing at the 3rd anti-codon position. The record is from RNAcentral. Lineage: Bacteria; Pseudomonadati; Pseudomonadota; Alphaproteobacteria; Sphingomonadales; Sphingomonadaceae.